ACGCUCGACACCUACGGGAGCAGCAGUGGGGAAUAUUGCACAAUGGGGGAAACCCUGAUGCAGCGACGCCGCGUGGAGGAAGAAGGUCUUCGGAUUGUAAACUCCUGUUGUUGGGGAAAAAGAGGAUGGUACCCAACAAGGAAGUGACGGCUAACUACGUGCCAACAGCCGCGGUAAUCUGAGCGGGCUGGCAAGGC
RNAcentral lists this ribosomal RNA (197 nucleotides) under uncultured bacterium. RNAcentral describes it as "partial 16S ribosomal RNA". It matches the Rfam family "Bacterial small subunit ribosomal RNA", at positions 328 to 539 of the family's 1533-position model. The record is from RNAcentral.